GCACUGGCAAAAUCCAGUGUCGGGAUUAGUACCCCGUUUCGAUUUCCAAGGCGCAUAUGUGCCAGCUUUUUGCUGGUUUUUU
Molecule: small RNA, 82 nt
Filed under: Vibrio aestuarianus
Lineage: Bacteria; Pseudomonadati; Pseudomonadota; Gammaproteobacteria; Vibrionales; Vibrionaceae
Description: isrK
Rfam family: isrK Hfq binding RNA
Source: RNAcentral